RNAcentral lists this ribosomal RNA (490 nucleotides) under Alteromonas macleodii. Its description in RNAcentral is "bacterial SSU rRNA". It matches the Rfam family "Bacterial small subunit ribosomal RNA", at positions 39 to 524 of the family's 1533-position model. The record is from RNAcentral. Lineage: Bacteria; Pseudomonadati; Pseudomonadota; Gammaproteobacteria; Alteromonadales; Alteromonadaceae.
UCGUGCGGGAGGCCUACACAUGCAGUCGAACGGUAACAUUUCUAGCUUGCUAGAAGAUGACGAGUGGCGGACGGGUGAGUAAUGCUUGGGAACUUGCCUUUGCGAGGGGGAUAACAGUUGGAAACGACUGCUAAUACCGCAUAAUGUCUUCGGACCAAACGGGGCUUAGGCUCCGGCGCAAAGAGAGGCCCAAGUGAGAUUAGCUAGUUGGUAAGGUAACGGCUUACCAAGGCGACGAUCUCUAGCUGUUCUGAGAGGAAGAUCAGCCACACUGGGACUGAGACACGGCCCAGACUCCUACGGGAGGCAGCAGUGGGGAAUAUUGCACAAUGGGGGAAACCCUGAUGCAGCCAUGCCGCGUGUGUGAAGAAGGCCUUCGGGUUGUAAAGCACUUUCAGUUGUGAGGAAAAGUUAGUAGUUAAUACCUGCUAGCCGUGACGUUAACAACAGAAGAAGCACCGGCUAACUCCGUGCCAGCAGCCGCGGUAAU